Molecule: unclassified non-coding RNA, 343 nt
Filed under: uncultured fungus
Lineage: Eukaryota; Fungi
Description: sequence contains ITS1
Rfam family: 5.8S ribosomal RNA (bases 1-105)
Source: RNAcentral
CAACUGCGAUAAGUAGUGUGAACUGCAGAAACCUUGAACACAGAACAUUCGAAUGCACAUUGCGCCAUUGGAGAUACAUCCUUUGGCACGCCUGGUUCAGGGUCGUAAACAUAAAGAGCACAGAGUGAGCUUGUAUGUGCUGCUAGACCAACCGUGAGCUCAAACGGUUGCUCUUGCAUUGGUGGUGUGCGCUUAGGCGGUGCUGAGUCGCGCUGGCAUGGACUUGUAUGCAUUCAGUUGCGUUCAUGCUCUUCGUGGCUUGGUGUCGUUUGGGCAGCACUGAGCAUGAGAAACAGACCAACUUUUCGACCUGAACUCAGACGUGAAUACCCGCUGAACUUAA